This 400-nucleotide ribosomal RNA is filed under the name uncultured bacterium. RNAcentral's name for it is "bacterial SSU rRNA". It matches the Rfam family "Bacterial small subunit ribosomal RNA", at positions 355 to 772 of the family's 1533-position model. The record is from RNAcentral.
UGGGGAAUAUUGGACAAUGGGGGCAACCCUGAUCCAGCCAUGCCGCGUGAGUGAUGAAGGCCUUAGGGUUGUAAAGCUCUUUUACCCGGGACGAUAAUGACUGUACCGGGAGAAUAAGCCCCGGCUAACUUCGUGCCAGCAGCCGCGGUAAUACGAAGGGGGCUAGCGUUGCUCGGAAUCACUGGGCGUAAAGCGCACGUAGGCGGAUCCUUAAGUCAGAGGUGAAAUCCCAAGGCUCAACCUUGGAACGGCCUUUGAUACUGGGGAUCUCGAGUCCGGAAGAGGUUGGUGGAACUGCGAGUGUAGAGGUGAAAUUCGUAGAUAUUCGCAAGAACACCAGUGGCGAAGGCGGCCAACUGGUCCGGCACUGACGCUGAGGUGCGAAAGCGUGGGGAGCAAA